Molecule: long non-coding RNA, 7318 nt
Filed under: Homo sapiens (human)
Lineage: Eukaryota; Metazoa; Chordata; Mammalia; Primates; Hominidae
Description: long independently transcribed non-coding RNA 2700, transcript variant 23 (LINC02700)
Source: RNAcentral
GUGAGACUGUGAAUUCUUCAAAAGCAGGUACUGUGUUUAAUGAAGUGUGCCCAGGACUUUGCUCAGUGACUGGAUGACACAGUAGGAGUAACAAGAAAGUUCACAUGGGUGAACCGUGGUAGGUGGACAUCGUCUCUCUCACCUCUUCCCAAAUCAAGGAUGAAGUACAUCUUCAUAAAUCCUCAUGUGAAUUAUUUUGCUACCUCUAGAAGCAUUUUCUAAAACAAGGUGCAGCAAUCAGUUGAGUGAAUUUGUCACCAGAGCUUAUGUUUUCUGAAAGAACCCUAUCCUCAGGCAGUUGUUCCUAAGAGAUUCCACAAAUAUGUCAGCGCUGGAAAUGAUCCUUUGGCUUUGAACUAUGUGAAGACUGCAGAAGGACUGGUUGGUCAGGCUGCAUUUGUAUCCUGGGUCCACAAGACAUCGUUUCCUUAAAACCAAUCCCCCUGAUUUUGCUAAGUGUCUGCAAGCCUAAUAUUUCAUGGAUGUUUGACAAGGACCCCGUCUUUAGCUGAACUAAGGAGAAAGUCCUGCAACACACACAUGGAGCUCAGCAAACGGAGGAUGUAACGCACAUGAAAUUUGGUGCUGUGACUCGGAUUGGGGGACCUCCCUUGGGAGAUCAAUCCCCUGUCCUCCUGUUCUUUGCUCCAUGGGAAAGAUCCACCUACGACCUCAGGUCCUCAGACCGACCAGCCCAAGGAACAUCUCACCAAUUUUAAAUCGGGACCCCACUGGAAAUCGGACUGUUCAACUCACCUGGCAGCCACUCACAGAGCCCGUGGAACUCUGGCCCAAGGCUCUCUGACUCCUUCUCGGCUUAGCGGCUAAAGACUGACACUGCCCGAUCGCCUCGGAAGCCCCGUAGACCAUCACGGACGCCGAGCUUUAGAUGAAGAAACUGAGGUCCAGAGAAGUUAAACGACCUUCCUAAGAUUACACAGCUUAGUAAGUGGCAGAACCACAGCUGGAAGCCAGGUCCUUCCUCACGCAAGUCCUGGCUCAUUCAUUCCUCUUCCAAAGACUUGCUGAGCACCUUCUAGGUGCCAGAUGCGGUGCUGGCUCCUGGGGACAUGGGAGUGAACAGGCCAGGCGUGGCCCUGAACCAUCAAAUAGACAACCACAGAAAUAACAACAACAAAGACAAAACCGGGCCCUUCCACACAGUAGCUGGAACACAAAGGAAGAUCAGCCAAGCCUCAACAUAAUCUCAUAAAAAUUCUUCAAAUAUCCCAUUGUUAUGGAUUCAUACAUCAGGAAAGCAGAUGCCAAGAACCUGAACACCUUCUACUGGUAACAUAUAUUUUGGCGAGCCAGCCUGGAGACAAGACCACUAUGGGCAACUUCCUGUCUAUUCUACCUGGUGUCACUGUGGACAACUUCCUAUCUAUUCCACCCGAUUCACCGCUUGGCUACAUCCUCCACCAUUGGGAUGAAUUUGACCCUAACAAUCUAAAGAAAAGGCAUAUGAUUUUUUACUGCAAUAUUGUUUGACACAAUUAUGAGCUGCCCAAUCCGGAACAAUGGGCAGUCAAUGGUAGCCUUAAUUAUGAUACCAUCCUGUAUCUAGACCUAUUUUACAAGAGGCAGGGCAAAUGGUCAGAAGUCCCACAUAUACAGGCCUACAUGACCCUAUACGAAGACCUAAGAAUCUAGGAAACUCCCAGAACCCAUCCCCCGAAGGAAAGUUCUGGGGCAGAACUAGAUAUUAUAGAUGAACCCCCUUUUACAAGGGAUACCUGUCUCUCAGAGUGAGCAGUGACUGUCCCCAUAUAACCCCUCACCAAGUGCUCCUGAGGCUGAAACCCAGGGGCAAACAUGGGGAACCCUACUAAGUCCCCCUCACACUUGGAGGGGAACACUGUAUUCAACUCUCUAUCCAGCCCUGCUACUCUCAGAGAAAUAGCAGGGGCUGAGGGGCCAAUCCUAGUGUGGGUCCCCUUCUCUAUGAUUGAUAUACAACAAUGUAAGGAAAAGCUAGGAAGCUAUUCUGAGGAUUCCGGGAAGUUUGCAGAUGGGUUCCAAACUUUGACCUUAGCCUUUGAUCUCUCAUGGAGAGACGUUCAAUUCACUCUAGCAACCUGUUGCACCUCCUCGGAAAAGGAACGAAUCUUUGAGGCUGCCCUCCGAGAAGUGGACGAAUUAUUCACCCAAAACCGUAAAGGCAGUCACCCAGGCCCAGCCACAGUUCCCACUACGCAUCCUAAUUGAGACCAAGACACCCCCGCAGGAAGGAACAACUGGGCUAAAUUUCUUGAGGCUCUUGGAGGAAUGAGAAAGGGAAUAACUAAGGCAGUAAAUUAUGAUAAAGUAAGGCAGAUUACACAAGGCAGGGAGGAAAACCCAGCUGUGUUUUACGGCAGGCUGCGGGAAGCCUUUAAAAAAUAUAUACUAAUUUGGUCCCUUCCUCUCCUGAAGGCAAGUUAUUAAUGGCACAACGUUUCAUUAGCCAAUCCACACCAGACAUUAGACGUAAGCUCCAAAAGCUACACAUGGGGCCACAAACUAACCAAAAUCAGCUUCUUGGUACUGCCUUCAUGGUGUAUAACAAUCGUGACCUGGAGGAAGGAGAAGGGAAACAGAGUAAAGAAAAACGGCAAGCCAAAAUUAUGUUAGCCAUCACUGGUGAUGCCCUAAAUGCACAAAGAUUGUCCAAGGGAAACUCAAAGGGCCAUAAGGAUAAUGCCAGCAAAGGCUCUUGCUUCAAAUGCAAUAAAAGUGCGAUUGGGCACAGGAAUCCACUAAGCCCCCGCCAGUCCCCUGCCGUCAAUGUAAAAGCACCAGUUGUGGCUCCUGGCCCUGGAGAAUUGACUGUCCCUGCUCCCACCAAGGGGCUCAGUCAGUCAAAACUCUGGCAGUGCACAAGGAGGAAUCAGAUGAAGACUGAAGGGGCCUGGGGCCUUCCUCACUGCCCCGUCUAGGAACAUUGUAAUUACUACUGAGGAACCCUGGGUAACUCUGGACAUCAUGGCCACCCAAAUUCAGUUUUUAUGUGAUACCAAGGUGAAUUAUUCUGUACAACUGCUUAUGCAGGAAAACUUUCCUCCCGGUCCAUGAGUGAUAUUGGAUGGAAGGGAAGCCACAAACAAGAUUCUUACUCCUCCUUUGGUUUGUCAAUUUGAGAAACAAAUCUUCCAACAGGAAUUUUUAGUAGUACCAAGCUGCCCAAUUCCCCUGUGGGAAAGAGAUAUUAUGGUGAAAAUAGUGACACUACUGCAAUUUAAGCAAUAUUAGCAGGUGAAACUGCUAAUAGUAAGAAAUAAGGCAAUGUCCCAGACCAUGUCAAUAAACAGGUUAACCCACUGGCAUGGUAUACUGGAAACCCAGGGAAGGCUAAAACAGCAGUGCCAGUCAAAAUACAGCUUAAAGACCCCAGCCAUUUUCCCAAUGGAAAACAAUACCCAGUUGAACAGGAAGCAAGCAAAGGUCUAGCUCCCAUAGUUGAGAUAUUACUUACCCAUGGACUCUUAAAACCCUGCAAUUCUCCCUGCAAUACCCCCAUCUUACCUGUUCUCAAGCCUGGGGGGAAUACCAGCUAGUACAGAACCUCAGAAUAAUGAAUGAGGCUGUUAUCCCCGUCCACCCAUUGGUGGCAGAUCCAUAUGCCCUCCUGGCUCAGGUGCCAGGGCAUGCAAAAUGGUUCUCAGUCCUAGACCUUUCUUCUCCAUUCCUCUGGCCCCGAGCCCCCCAGUACCUUUUUGCUUUCGAAUGGGAAAAUCCUAAUACCAGAUAAAAACAAUACACUUGGACAGUGCUUCCUCAGGGCUUUCGGGAUAGCCCCCACUUCUUUGCCUGAGCAUUAGAGCGGGAUCUGAGGGAUUUCAAGUUAGAAAAUGGAGGUAUUCUUCAGUAUGGGGAUGACCUUGUGUGUAGCCCAACCUAGGAGGUUUCUGACCAAAAUACUAUAAAAACUUUGAAUUUCCUGGCAGACAGAGGAUACAAAGUGUCCAAAAAGAAGGCUCAGAUUACCCUCCAAUGGGUCCACUAUUUAGGAUAUGUCUUAACACCCGGAACCCGGCAAAUAUCCCCAGAAGGAGUGCAAGCUAUAUGUGGUUUGGCCGCGUGCACCACCCCCAGCCCCCACCCUGACCCACCUCCAAGCAGCAGCUUUGUUCCUUUUUGGGGAUGGCCGGGCUUUGGAGAAUAUGAGUACCAAAUUUUGGGCUCAUAGCAAAGCCCCUAUAUGAAGCAACAAGGGGGCCUGAAAAUGAGCUAAUGGAAUGGACCCCGGAAAUGAGGAAAGCCUUUGCCAAGUUAAAACAGGUUCUCACCCAGGCUCCUGCUCUUGGUAUCCCAGACCUAAUUAAGGCCUUCUCCUUGUAUGUAGCAGAGAAGAGGGGCAUAGCUGUGGGAGUGCUAGCCCAGAAAUUAGGAUCAGAACCCAGACCAACCGCCUACUUCUCAAAAAAGUUGGACGGAGUGGCCUCAGGAUGGCCAAGUUGCCUGCGGGCAAUAGCAGCCACUGCUGUUAGUGGAGGAAGCCACUAAAAUCACCCUAGGGCAACCACUGGAAGUUCUAACGCUCCAUCAGGUAAAGUUAGUCUUAGAAAUAAAGGGACACAUCUGGAUGACAGGGGAAAUGUUAACUAAAUACCAGCCCAUGCUCCUAGACAAUCCAGAUAUAACUCUUAAAACCUGCAACACUUUAAAUCCAGCUUCAUUGCUGCCCACAGGCCCAAUAAUUGAUCAUUCCUGUGAGCAGGUCAUUGCACAUACAUAUGUUAGCCAGCCUGAUUUAAAAGAUGAGGCUCUCCCAGAUUCUGAAGCUGACCGGCUCACAGACGGCAGUAGUUCUUUGUCGAAUGGGGAGCACAGAGCUGGAUAUGCAGCAGUAAAUCAUGACACAAUUAUUGAAGCCCAGCCAGUGCCCCCUGGCACAUCAGCACAAAAGGCUAAAAUCAUUGAUCUUACUCAAGCAUUAAUGUUGGGACAAGGGAAAAAACUUAACAUCUAUACAGAUUCUAAAUAUGCAUUCCUUGUGGUUCAUGCUCAUACCGCCAUCAGGAAAGAAAGGGGAUUACUUACUAGCAAGCACUCCCCUAUAGAGCAUGGACCUGAAAUUCUGCAGCUAUUGAAGGCAAUACACCUGCCAAAGGCCAUAGCUAUCAUUCAUUGUAGGGGGCAUCAAAGGGACUUAACCCCUAUAGCACAAGGGAAUGGAAAGGCUGACGGAAGCCAAAGCAAAAGCCCUCAGCGUGCAAUCCCAACAGAUCCUAGCACUGCUUCCUUUCUACAAUUCCCCAGUAGAACCCAAAUACACACCACAGGAAGAACAGCUAAUAAAAAAAGCAAGGGAGACAAAAACAAGGAUCCUGGUGGCAUAUGGAGCCAAAAAUAUAUCUCCCUCAGGCAGCCCAGUGGAGAGUUAUAAAAGCCCUGCAUGACUCUUUCCAUGUGGGGAGGGAUGCGGCUCUGGCCAUGGUAAACAAGUUCUUUACUGGGUUUAACUCAGCUUCAAUGGCUAAGCAGGUCUGUCAAGCCUGCUCACUGUGUGCAUUUAACAAUCCAGGCAUCAAAAUGCCCCCUCUAAUAAAACCAGUCCAAAGGAGGGGAACUUAUCCAGGGGAAGACUGGCAGUUAGACGUCAUCCAUAUGCCAGCUUGCAGAGGAUACAAGCUUUUGUUAAUACUAAUAGAUACUUUUAGGUUGGGUCAAAGGUUACCCCAGAAAAGGCUAAUGAGGUUCUAAGGUCCUCUUAAAAGAAAUAAUUCCCCAGUUUGGGUUACCUCAGGGUCUCCAAAGUGAUAAUGGCUAAUCCUUUAUCUCCCAAAUAACUCAAGGGGUUGCUAAGGCUCUUGGAAUAAAAUACUAUUUACAUUCAGCCUGGAGGCCCCAAUCCUCUGGAAAAGUGGAAAGGGUUAACCAAACUCUAAAAUAAGCACUAGCUAAACUAUGUCAGGAAACAUCAGAAACUUGGGUUAGCUUAUUGCUCACAGCCCUUUUAAGAAUUUGUAAUACCCCUAGCUCAAAAAUUAACAGAAGCCCAUAUAAAAUGUUAUACAGAAGGCCAUUCUUAACUAAUGAUUUAAUUAUUGACCCAGAAAGAGUUGGUGUAAUUAAAUACCUAGUCAACCCAGAACAAUUCCAGCGGGUUUACAAGAGUUUGGAAUUCAAAGGCUCCUCACACUUGGAACUAACCAGCAACCCAAAAUCAGGCCAGGAGAUAGGGUACUUGUUAAAACAUGGAAUGAGGGAUCACCUGCCCAACAAUUACAACCCCAAUAGAAGGGACUUUUUUCAGUAAUACUGGCCACGUCUUCUGUGGUCAAAGUACUAGUAUUAGAUAGCUGGAUACAUCUUUCAAGGAUCAAACCAUCAAUACCAGAAGCUCCAGACCAGGAACCUGAAGUUCCCAUCAGCCAGUACACCUGUGAACCAGUGGAGGACCUGAAGUACCUGUUUAAAAGAUAGCCAAAAGAUAAGUAAAUGCCUACCAACUUUCUUUGGUGUCUUUGUUGCAUAGUUACUGUGGGCUGGAAAAUAGUAGCCAUUUUUAUCUUUGCAGUUUAAUUGCCUUCUUCCAAAUAGAUAAAAAUCACUUCCUUUGUAAUAAUUAAACAGAAUUUAAAAAAUACAUUUCUAUGACAAAUAUUCCUGAUGGCAUAAGUAUCCACCCCAAGGUUCCCAUUAAAUCUUUUAACCUAAAGUAUUUCCUCUCACCUAGAGAUCAUCGAGCUGUGUGACAAGGGUGCCAGCCACUCCAGGUGAAGACACCACCCCAGGCCAUCAAGGAUCUUCCCUACCUUCACUAAACAGAGCAGGGUGAAAGUUGUGUGAUCCCCAAUAGGUAGGGACUACACCCCAAGUCAGCAGGAAGCAGUUACAGAAGAAAGACCAUUGGUCCCUCUGCUUCCCAUAAAGAUUUAUGGGGAUCACAGCUUUCACGGGGGAGAUGAGGCAAGAGAAUAGGGCAUGCAGGCAGGGUACUUGAGGCCAAUCCACGCUGACUUCCUAGAACUGAAUUAAAUGAAAGCUCCUCAGCAAUGACAGGAAUGUGAAUGGCUUUGUAACUUCUUCCUCUCCAUUAAUGCUAUUUCCACUUUGUAACUUCACUUUCAUCCUCUCCAUUUACAUAGAUCACACACCAAGUAACAUCCUCUCCAUUUACAGUAGGGCGCAUUCCGAGUCAAUGACUCUGACUGCACUUCGUUCUCCUCAUUUACAUAGAACAUUCGCCAAGUAACCAAUGGGAAACCUCUAGAGUAUUGAAACUCCAGAAAAUUCCGUAAGUGGGGCUCUUGAGCGUCUACACUCGGGUCGCUCCCACACUGUGGCGUGUACUUUUAUUCUCAAUAAAUUCCCGCUUUUGCUUUCCUCGUUC